AGAUGACUUGAGCCUGGGAUUUCGAGGCUGCAGUGAGUUGUGUUCUUGCCACUGCAUUCUAACCUGGGUGACAGAG
This 76-nucleotide small nuclear RNA is filed under the name Homo sapiens (human). Its description in RNAcentral is "partial ncRNA". The record is from RNAcentral. Lineage: Eukaryota; Metazoa; Chordata; Mammalia; Primates; Hominidae.